AUGCUCUUAGGAAAUGCAUCCCCAUGGGAGUUCCACUUCUGGUGGGAAUUCAUAGGGCUCUGUUUCCUAAGCUCAUGGAAAUGGAGCCCAAAGCCCAUCUUCAGGAGUCAGGUGUUACCAGACUCUAAACAAGGAGAAAAUGGGGUAAAAGAGUGGGCUAAUUUACGGAAGGCUAGGAUACUGACAUUAGAAGGUCAGGACUUAUACAAAGGAUGGCAUGCAUACUUGUGGAAAAGGAAAGGCCACAAAGAAAGAAAUUUUAACAAUCACUACUUGAGAAAAGCAUUAUUAGCAACAUGGGAGAAAGACAAAAACAGAUUUUACAGGAAAACACCAUUAUGGCUCUCUCCCUUAGAGUCAGAACAUAUGAGAGAGAUCCCUAGGGAAAGAUGGUUAACAUACAAACAAAUGGUAAAAAUAGAUAAUCAGGGAAUAAGGUUAAAAUCAUACGAGGAGGUCAAACAAAUAGAAUCAUCUAUAAUCUGGCUAAACUACUGGCAGAUCAGGGAAGGUUUUAAAACAGAUAGCCAAAUAGGAUUCAAAAGGAACGAAACAGUAUGGGAUAAGAUUUUAAAUCUCGAAAGGAAAGUAAUCAAAAUGUUAUAUCAACAGUUGCUGAUAUGGGAAACAGAAGAGGUAUAUGUUAAAGAAAACAUGACCACAUGGGCAAGAGAGUUCGGACAUACAAUAAGGUUUGAGGAAUGGGAAAGAUGCUGGCAAAAGAGAUUAAAAUAUACAUAUUCAACAUCGUUAAAAGAAAGUUGGUAUAAAAUUUACUUCAGGUGGUAUAUUACACUGGUAAAAUUGGCAAAAAUUAACAAGGGCAAGAAUGGGGAAGAAUGUUGGAAAUGUAAAAAAGAGAAGGGAGAUUUUUUUUCAUAUCUGGUGGGGGUGCAAGAUGAUAAAAAGGUUCUGGAGAAUAAUACAGAAAGAAAUGGAGACUAUACUACAAAUAAAACUUGCACUAAAACCGGAAUACUUUCUACUAGGGUUAACAGAUUUUUUCAUGGAUACAAAUAA
RNAcentral lists this long non-coding RNA (1020 nucleotides) under Anolis carolinensis (green anole). Its description in RNAcentral is "lncRNA (ENSACAG00000039550.1)". Lineage: Eukaryota; Metazoa; Chordata; Lepidosauria; Squamata; Anolidae. The record is from RNAcentral.